UACGGGGGGUGCAAGCGUUGUUCGGAUUUACUGGGCGUAAAGGGCGCGUAGGCGGCCAGCACAAGUCAGUUGUGAAAUCUCCGAGCUUAACUCGGAACGGUCAACUGAUACUGUGCGGCUAGAGUGCGGAAGGGGCAACUGGAAUUCUCGGUGUAGCGGUGAAAUGCGUAGAUAUCGAGAGGAACACCUGCGGCGAAGGCGGGUUGCUGGGCUGAUACUGACGCUGAGGCGCGAAAGCCAGGGGAGCGAACGGG
RNAcentral lists this ribosomal RNA (254 nucleotides) under uncultured bacterium. RNAcentral describes it as "partial 16S ribosomal RNA". It matches the Rfam family "Bacterial small subunit ribosomal RNA", at positions 524 to 776 of the family's 1533-position model. The record is from RNAcentral.